GUGACGAAGCCGUGUCUGAAACCUAUAAGGCCAUUAUCUUGCUCAAUUCAAUCCCGGACUCUUAUAAAGAAGUUAAAAAUGCCAUUAAGUAUGGUAGGGACACGUUAACACCUGAAAUUGUCGUAGAUUCUCUUAGAAGUAAGGAGAUGGAAAUGAGGGCUGAAAAAUAGGAUAGGAGGAGUGGAGAGUUGCAUAUGAUGCAGGGUAGAACUCACUUUAGGCAAGCC
This 227-nucleotide long non-coding RNA is filed under the name Olea europaea (common olive). RNAcentral's name for it is "long non-coding RNA (OEUR_LNC008948)". Lineage: Eukaryota; Viridiplantae; Streptophyta; Magnoliopsida; Lamiales; Oleaceae. The record is from RNAcentral.